UGGGGAAUAUUGGACAAUGGGGGGAACCCUGAUCCAGCAAUGCCGCGUGUGUGAAGAAGGCCUUAGGGUUGUAAAGCACUUUAGGCUGGGAGGAAGAUAAGUAGUUUAAGAGAUAGCUUAUUUGACAGUACCGGCAGAAUAAGCACCGGCUAACUCUGUGCCAGCAGCCGCGGUAAUACAGAGGGUGCAAGCGUUAAUCGGAAUUACUGGGCGUAAAGGGCGCGUAGGCGGUUAGAUAAGUUACCUGUGAAAUCCCUGGGCUUAACCUAGGAACUGCAGGUAAGACUGUGUAGCUAGAGUACUGUAGAGGGUAGUGGAAUUUCCGGUGUAGCGGUGAAAUGCGUAGAGAUCGGAAGGAACACCAGUGGCGAAGGCGGCUACCUGGACAGAUACUGACGCU
This 400-nucleotide ribosomal RNA is filed under the name uncultured bacterium. Its description in RNAcentral is "bacterial SSU rRNA". It matches the Rfam family "Bacterial small subunit ribosomal RNA", at positions 355 to 747 of the family's 1533-position model. The record is from RNAcentral.